GAUAUCAAAGAUUUUAUCGCUUGAAGAUGGACUCGCGUCCGAUUAGUUAGUUGGUGAGGUAACGGCUCACCAAGACCGCGAUCGGUAGCCGGACUGAGAGGUUGAACGGCCACAUUGGGACUGAGACACGGCCCAGACUCCUACGGGAGGCAGCAGUGGGGGAUAUUGCGCAAUGGGGGCAACCCUGACGCAGCGACGCCGCGUGAAGGAUGAAGGUUUUCGGAUUGUAAACUUCUUUUAUUAAGGACGAAAAUUGACGGUACUUAAUGAAUAAGCUCCGGCUAACUACGUGCCAGCAGCCGCGGUAAUACGUAGGGAGCAAGCGUUGUCCGGAUUUACUGGGUGUAAAGGGUGCGUAGGCGGCUUUGCAAGUCAGAUGUGAAAUCUAUGGGCUCAACCCAUAAACUGCAUUUGAAACUGUAGAGCUUGAGUGAAGUAGAGGCAGGCGGAAUUCCCCGUGUAGCGGUGAAAUGCGUAGAGAUGGGGAGGAACACCAGUGGCGAAGGCGGCCUGCUGGGCUUUAACUGACGCUGAGGCACGAAAGCGUGGGUAGCAAACAGGAUUAGAUACCCUGGUAGUCCACGCUGUAAACGAUGAUUACUAGGUGUGGGGGGUCUGACCCCUUCCGUGCCGGAGUUAACACAAUAAGU
RNAcentral lists this ribosomal RNA (650 nucleotides) under uncultured Bacillota bacterium. RNAcentral describes it as "bacterial SSU rRNA". It matches the Rfam family "Bacterial small subunit ribosomal RNA", at positions 197 to 865 of the family's 1533-position model. Lineage: Bacteria; Bacillati; Bacillota. The record is from RNAcentral.